This 464-nucleotide ribosomal RNA is filed under the name uncultured bacterium. Its description in RNAcentral is "partial 16S ribosomal RNA". It matches the Rfam family "Bacterial small subunit ribosomal RNA", at positions 28 to 507 of the family's 1533-position model. The record is from RNAcentral.
GACGAACGCUGGCGGCGUGCUUAACACAUGCAAGUCGAACGGAAAGGCCCUGCUUGCAGGGUACUCGAGUGGCGAACGGGUGAGUAACACUUGGGUGAUCUGCCCUGCACUUCGGGAUAAGCCUGGGAAACUGGGUCUAAUACCGGAUAGGAGCCAUUUUUAGUGUGAUGGUUGGAAAGUUUUUUCGGUGUAGGAUGAGCUCGCGGCCUAUCAGCUUGUUGGUGGGGUAAUGGCCUACCAAGGCGGCGACGGGUAGCCGGCCUGAGAGGGUGGACGGCCACAUUGGGACUGAGAUACGGCCCAGACUCCUACGGGAGGCAGCAGUGGGGAAUAUUGCACAAUGGGCGCAAGCCUGAUGCAGCGACGCCGCGUGGGGGAUGACGGCCUUCGGGUUGUAAACUCCUUUCGCUAGGGACGAAGCUUUUGUGACGGUACCCAGAUAAGAAGCACCGGCUAACUACGUG